RNAcentral lists this long non-coding RNA (1690 nucleotides) under Capsella rubella. RNAcentral's name for it is "long non-coding RNA (CRUB_LNC001770)". Lineage: Eukaryota; Viridiplantae; Streptophyta; Magnoliopsida; Brassicales; Brassicaceae. The record is from RNAcentral.
UAAAGUUCAAGAGGAGUGGGAAGCUGCUGCAGACUUGAUGGAAAGGAAGGAAUCAUUAGAAGAUAAAGGUCACGAGGAGUGGGAAGCUGCUGCAGACAUAAUAGAAAGGAAAGAAUCAUCACAAGAUAAAGGUCAAGAGGAGAAGGAAGUUGCUGCAGACAUUAUGGAAGGAAAGGAAUUAUCGCAAGACAAACAAUAAUGACAGUGUGAAGAGUCACCUGCACCAGUUCCCUUUCCUCUUUCUUUGUAUUGGUGACGAUAAUUUGAGUGUGAAGCUUGCAAACAUUUGUCUCCCAAAAACCCCCCACUUUUUCUCAUGUUUCCUGAAACUGUAAUGCUUAUGUUGUUCCAUUUAAUAAUUAUGCAAUGAUUAUUAAUUUUCAGCACAGAAAAUCACUGAAACAGGGUUGGAAACAAGAGAAAGUUAUAUACCUGUGAUGAGAAAAGAAAAGACAAAGCCACUGUCGAAAAAUCAGAGCUUAGCCACGGUAACCCACAUGAUCAAGACGAGUUAUCGUUACAGUGUUCAUGACUUCUUCAACGAUGUCCUUAUCUGUCAAAUGAAAAUCAAACUCAGGGUCCUAACAUGCCACAUUAAUAUAUGUACAGCCUAGUAAGUUUAUGUUCUGAUAAACAAAAAAGAGCCUAAGGUUUCUUGUUUGGCAGUUGUUGUUACUAUAGGUUGAAAAAAUCUGGUAUAUAUACCUCAUGCAUCAAUCUUGAUACAAUAAAGACAUCAAAAGUGUAAGUUCAUGUGCUGCUAAAGACUAUUUAACGAAUAACAAUAAACAAGUAUGAGACAAUUCAGCUUAUUAUAACAUAUAAAUGGUGUUUCCCAAACGGACCACAUAUGCUUAGCUCUACUUACGUAACACAAACACACACACACGCAGAGAAUGGUUAUGCAGCCACAUAGAGCUACUUCUUACCUCUCUCUCAUGGACAAUUCCAAAAGCCCUGUCCAACCUAACCAGCUUUAUCAUCAUAAUGUGUAGUGUAUGCCAACAAAACAAGAAGCAGACUUUGGAUUAAUAAACAAAACAACAACAGCCCGGAAGCAAAAUCACCUGCUGCAAGGGAAAAGCGUAUGAAUCUUUAUGAUCUGCCAACCGCUAUUAUAGUAAAAAAAAACACUACAUAAGUUCACUAUAACUCAAGAAGCUCACUUGCAUAAUGAAUUUACCAAUUAACUCAGUUUCUUCUGCAGAAUCAUUAGCUGUCCAAAACUCAGCAGCUUUUAUCACCAUAACGUGUACACCAAAAAAAAGACUCAAACACUAGACUUAGCUUAAUUUCUUCUGCAGACUCAAUUAAAUACCCACUUUCAUUACCACUAAAUUAACUUAAUUUCUUCUGCAGACUCAUUAUUUACAUAUAAAAGACUCGAUUUUUAUCCCGAAAAAUUGAAACUUUAAACGACACCCACCAAUCUAUUCAACCUGAAAUUUUCAAACAAUUACCGCAAAAAAUCAAGAUAACCCAUUAAAUAAGUACCUUUAUCACGACAAAGGUAACUCCUUGAAUCAACAAACACAGAAGCAGGUGCCUGAGGGAUGAGCACAUUGCUCGGAGAAUUUACACUGAUUUCUCCGAUGGUUUCGCCUACAGCUAUCGAAACAAGAAAAAGAAGAACACGAAGCUAAUCCGGUUCCGGAUAAAAUCUGAACCGGAUAUAACCGAGUAAAUUUUG